Molecule: ribosomal RNA, 403 nt
Filed under: Fusobacteriota bacterium
Lineage: Bacteria; Fusobacteriati; Fusobacteriota
Description: Fusobacteria bacterium partial 16S ribosomal RNA
Rfam family: Bacterial small subunit ribosomal RNA
Source: RNAcentral
UGGGGAAUCUUGCACAAUGGGGGAAACCCUGAUGCAGCGACGCCGCGUGAGCGAUGAAGGUUUUCGAAUCGUAAAGCUCUGUCCUACGGGAAGAUAAUGACGGUACCAUGGGAGGAAGCCCCGGCUAACUACGUGCCAGCAGCCGCGGUAAUACGUAGGGGGCGAGCGUUGUCCGGAAUUACUGGGCGUAAAGGGUUCGCAGGCGGCAUGGCAAGUCCGAUGUAAAAGGCGAAGGCUCAACCUUCGUAAGCAUCGGAAACUGUCAAGCUUGAGUGAAGGAGAGGCAAGUGGAAUUCCUAGUAUAGCGGUGGAAUGCGUAGAUAUUAGGAGGAAUACCGGUAGCGAAGGCGACUUGCUGGACUUCAACUGACGCUGAGGAACGAAAGCGUGGGUAGCAAACAGG